ACUCCUACGGGAGGCAGCAGUGGGGAAUAUUGGACAAUGGGCGCAAGCCUGAUCCAGCCAUGCCGCGUGAGUGAUGAAGGCCCUAGGGUUGUAAAGCUCUUUCACCGGUGAAGAUAAUGACGGUAACCGGAGAAGAAGCCCCGGCUAACUUCGUGCCAGCAGCCGCGGUAAUACGAAGGGGGCUAGCGUUGUUCGGAUUUACUGGGCGUAAAGCGCACGUAGGCGGACUAUUAAGUCAGGGGUGAAAUCCCGGGGCUCAACCCCGGAACUGCCAUUGAUACUGGUAGUCUUGAGUUCGAGAGAGGUGAGUGGAAUUCCGAGUGUAGAGGUGAAAUUCGUAGAUAUUCGGAGGAACACCAGUGGCGAAGGCGGCUCACUGGCUCGAUACUGACGCUGAGGUGCGAAAGCGUGGGGAGCAAACAGGAUUAGAAACCCCAGUAGUCCCAUG
Molecule: ribosomal RNA, 448 nt
Filed under: uncultured organism
Description: partial 16S ribosomal RNA
Rfam family: Bacterial small subunit ribosomal RNA
Source: RNAcentral